GCGGGAGUAGCUCAGUGGUAGAGCAUCACCUUGCCAAGGUGGGGGUCACGGGUUCGAAACCCGUCUCCCGCU
This 72-nucleotide transfer RNA is filed under the name candidate division TA06 bacterium B3_TA06. Its description in RNAcentral is "tRNA-Gly". It matches the Rfam family "tRNA". Rfam says of the family: Transfer RNA (tRNA) molecules are approximately 80 nucleotides in length. The record is from RNAcentral. RNAcentral also lists the same sequence under 2 other names.